Molecule: ribosomal RNA, 483 nt
Filed under: uncultured bacterium
Lineage: Bacteria
Description: partial 16S ribosomal RNA
Rfam family: Bacterial small subunit ribosomal RNA
Source: RNAcentral
UUGCACGCUGGCGGCAUGCUUUACACAUGCAAGUCGCACGGCAGCACGGGCUUCGGCCUGGUGGCGAGUGGCGAACGGGUGAGUAAUAUAUCGGAACGUACCCAGAAGUGGGGGAUAACGUAGCGAAAGUUACGCUAAUACCGCAUACGAUCUAUGGAUGAAAGCAGGGGACCGCAAGGCCUUGUGCUCCUGGAGCGGCCGAUAUCUGAUUAGCUAGUUGGUGAGGUAAAGGCUCACCAAGGCGACGAUCAGUAGCUGGUCUGAGAGGACGACCAGCCACACUGGAACUGAGACACGGUCCAGACUCCUACGGGAGGCAGCAGUGGGGAAUUUUGGACAAUGGGCGCAAGCCUGAUCCAGCAAUGCCGCGUGAGUGAAGAAGGCCUUCGGGUUGUAAAGCUCUUUUGUCAGGGAAGAAACGGUAGAGGCUAAUAUCCUUUGCUAAUGACGGUACCUGAAGAAUAAGCACCGGCUAACUACGUG